ACCCCACCUUCCAAAGCAAUGACACCUAUUUCUCUUCCUCUUUCAGGAUCCACAAGGUCCCCUGAGAGGUGUUGGGGACCUGGGUCCUCCUGGAGAGAAGGUAAUUGGGAAAGGGCUGAAGGGGAUGAAGGGACCAGUCUUGUGGAUGAGGAAUGAGAGUUGGAUUUCUGCCAAUUUUUGUUGAGGAGACAAAAGAGAAUAAAAUGUGGAGAAUACCAGGAUUUUGUGAGGGGGAAAUGAAGUUUUUGACCCCAAUCUCUUGGCUGCUGGAGCCAGGAGAGACAGGAUCUCCAGGAAUCCAGGGGUCUUGGUUUUCCUGGAGACCCUGGCCUCCUGUAAGAAGGUAGCUCAUGAUCAGGACAGUGUUAAGGGUGACUACGGCAAGGAUGGUGAGCCAAGACAGCCUGUGAGUGACCAAUGACCCUGCCACCUCCAUUGAGCUCCAGCCUUCAGUCCAUUACCCCUCUCUUCUGUGCCCCACUCCUGAGGGGUCCCUUGGCUGGAGGCCAACACUCACCUACCCCAAUUCCUCUCGUUCUGUGGAUCCUCUGGUUCCACUGGGGAGAAUGGACUACCUGGACCACAUGGA
Molecule: long non-coding RNA, 589 nt
Filed under: Cercocebus atys (sooty mangabey)
Lineage: Eukaryota; Metazoa; Chordata; Mammalia; Primates; Cercopithecidae
Description: lncRNA (ENSCATG00000045555.1)
Source: RNAcentral